GAACGCGGGCGGCGUGCCUAAUGCAUGCAAGUCUAACGCACAGACCUUGCUCCGUGAGUGGCGCACGGCUGAGGAACACGUGAGCACCUUCCCGCCCGUGGGGGAUAACCGGCCGAAAGGCCAGCUAAUCCCAGCAUCCGGUCGCCCUCGGGCGACGAAAGCGGCAACGCGCGGGCGGACGGGCUUGCGGCCCAUCAGGUGGUUGGCGGGGUAACGGCCCACCAAGCCGAUGACGGGUAGCUGGUCUGUGAGGACAACCAGCCAGACUGGGACUGAGACACGGCCCAGACUCCUACGGGAGGCAGCAGCAAGGGAUUUUCCCCAAUGGGCGCACGCCUGAGGGAGCAACGCCGCGUGCGGGAUGACGGCCUUCGGGUUGUAAACCGCUUUUGGGGGUGAAGACGAUGACGGUAGCCCCCGAACAAACCCCGGCUAACUCUGUGCCAGCAGCCGCGGUAAUACAGAGGGGGCAAGCGUUGUCCGGACUGACUGGGCGUAAAGCGCACGCAGGCGGUCGCGGGCGUCGGUGCUGAAAGUCCACCGCUUAACGGUGGAUCGCGUGCCGAUACGCCGCGACUGGAGCCAUGUAGAGGUCCGUGGAAUUGCCGGUGUAGUGGUGAUAUGCGUAGAUAUCGGCAGGAACACCCAAGGGGAAGCCAACGGACUGGGCAUCGGCUGACGCUCAGGUGCGACAGCGUGGGGAGCCAACGGGAUUAGAUACCCCGGUAGUCCACGCCGUAAACGAUGGACGCUCGGUGUCUGGGGGCUAUCAACGUCCCUGGGCGCCUCAGCUAACGCGCAAGCGUCCCGCCUGGGAACUACGAGCGC
RNAcentral lists this ribosomal RNA (828 nucleotides) under uncultured bacterium. Its description in RNAcentral is "bacterial SSU rRNA". It matches the Rfam family "Bacterial small subunit ribosomal RNA", at positions 31 to 889 of the family's 1533-position model. The record is from RNAcentral.